Molecule: ribosomal RNA, 399 nt
Filed under: uncultured bacterium
Lineage: Bacteria
Description: bacterial SSU rRNA
Rfam family: Bacterial small subunit ribosomal RNA
Source: RNAcentral
GAUGAACGCUAGCGGCAGGCUUAAUACAUGCAAGUCGUGGGGCAGCAGGUUUGUAGCAAUACAGAUGCUGGCGACCGGCGAACGGGUGCGGAACACGUACAGAACCUUCCUUUGAGCGGGGAAUAGCCCAGAGAAAUUUGGAUUAAUACCCCAUAGUAUAAUGAAGUGGCAUCACUUUAUUAUUAAAGAUUUAUCACUCGAAGAUGGCUGUGCGGCUGAUUAGGUAGUUGGCGGGUAAAGGCCACCAAGCCUGCGAUCAGUAACUGGUGUGAGAGCACGACCAGUCACACGGGCACUGAGACACGGGCCCGACUCCUACGGGAGGCAGCAGUAAGGAAUAUUGGUCAAUGGAGGCAACUCUGAACCAGCCAUGCCGCGUGGAGGAUGAAGGUCCUCUGG